This 526-nucleotide long non-coding RNA is filed under the name Populus tremula. RNAcentral's name for it is "long non-coding RNA (PTRE_LNC002163)". The record is from RNAcentral. Lineage: Eukaryota; Viridiplantae; Streptophyta; Magnoliopsida; Malpighiales; Salicaceae.
UCGGGGAAGGUUAUUUUAAUCCUUUCAUAAGUAAAAAAUCAAUAAUGUUGUGCCAAUAUCAAUUCCCACAAACAUAAUAACUAUUUUUUUCUCACACUUUUUAACCUCUCGGCAUUGCCACUUGUGUCAUAUAUCAUUGGUAAAUUAUGAUUUGUCGGUUAACCUAAUUCACUUUCAAGUUUAACCAUUGAAUAUUUCCCUUCAAGUGGAUUGAUCCUUUUCUUUUGAAGAAAAGCAACCCAAAGUGGUUCUUACAACAAUGGCAUGGACAGAUUCAUGAUGCAUUUGUAGAAUCUAUGCAUAAGAUGUGACAACAGCAUGCCUGUCCCGUGGUUUUCUUUUUCUUUCUUCGUGACUAAAGAACCUUGGAGGUAACCUUUCCAUGGUGGCUCGGAUCGUAAAGUGGACGAGGGUAACGAGGCAUGCUCGUUGUGUAGUUUUCAAUUUGAUUUUUUCUACUUUUUAAUAUUGAUGUUCAUGAACAGCAGGAUAUAAGUUCUGUUCUGUAAGUUUUGAGGGUAACGAG